GCUAUACAUGCAGUCGAGCGAACAGAUGAAGUGCUUGCACUUCUGACGUUAGCGGCGAACGGGUGAGUAACACGUAAGGAAUCUACCUAUAAGCGGGGGAUAACAUUCGGAAACGGGUGCUAAUACCGCAUAAUAUCUUCUUCCGCAUGGAAGAAGAUUGAAAGACGGCUCUGCUGUCACUUAUAGAUGACCUUGCGGUGCAUUAGUUAGUUGGUGGGGUAACGGCCUACCAAGACGAUGAUGCAUAGCCGACCUGAGAGGGUGAUCGGCCACAUUGGGACUGAGACACGGCCCAAACUCCUACGGGAGGCAGCAGUAGGGAAUCUUCCGCAAUGGGCGAAAGCCUGACGGAGCAAUGCCGCGUGAGUGAAGAAGGCCUUCGGGUCGUAAAACUCUGUUAUAAGAGAAGAACAAAUUGUAGAGUAACUGCUACAGUCUUGACGGUAUCUUAUCAGAAAGCCACGGCUAACUACGUGCCAGCAGCCGCGGUAAUACGUAGGUGGCAAGCGUUGUCCGGAUUUAUUGGGCGUAAAGGGAGCGCAGGUGGUUUCUUAAGUCUGAUGUGAAAGCCCACGGCUUAACCGUGGAGGGUCAUUGGAAACUGGGAAACUUGAGUACAGAAGAGGAAUGUGGAACUCCAUGUGUAGCGGUGGAAUGCGUAGAUAUAUGGAAGAACACCAGUGGCGAAGGCGACAUUCUGGUCUGUUACUGACACUGAGGCUCGAAAGCGUGGGGAGCAAACAGGAUUAGAUACCCUGGUAGUCCACGCCGUAAACGAUGAGUGCUAGGUGUUGGAGGG
This 799-nucleotide ribosomal RNA is filed under the name Aerococcus sp. I85-CRBM-T3P21. RNAcentral describes it as "bacterial SSU rRNA". It matches the Rfam family "Bacterial small subunit ribosomal RNA", at positions 48 to 830 of the family's 1533-position model. Lineage: Bacteria; Bacillati; Bacillota; Bacilli; Lactobacillales; Aerococcaceae. The record is from RNAcentral.